CCUACGGGUGGCAGCAGUGGGGAAUAUUGGUCAAUGGACGAAAGUCUGAUCCAGCCAAGUCGCGUGAAUGAUGACUGCCCUAUGGGUUGUAAACUUCUUUUAUAUGGGAAUAAAACGUUCCACGUGUGGGAUUUUGUAUGUACCAUAUGAAUAAGGAUCGGCUAACUCCGUGCCGGCCGCCGCGGUAAUACGGAGGGUCCGAGCGUUAUCCGGAUUUAUUGGGUUUAAAGGGAGCGUAGGUGGACUGUUAAGUCAGUUGUGAAAGUUUGGGGCUCAACCGUAGAAUUGCAGUUGAAACUGGCAGUCUUGAGUACAGUAGAGGUGGGUGGAAUUCGUGGUGUAGCGGUGAAAUGCGUAGAUAUCUCGAAGAACUCCGAUUGCGAAGGCAGUUCACUGGACUGAAACUGACACUGAGGCGCGAAAGUGUGGGUAUCAAACAGGAUUAGAUACCCCUGUAGUC
This 460-nucleotide ribosomal RNA is filed under the name uncultured bacterium. Its description in RNAcentral is "partial 16S ribosomal RNA". It matches the Rfam family "Bacterial small subunit ribosomal RNA", at positions 338 to 795 of the family's 1533-position model. The record is from RNAcentral.